UACGGGGGGAGCAAGCGUUGUUCGGAUUUACUGGGCGUAAAGGGCGCGUAGGCGGCGCAACAAGUCACUUGUGAAAUCUCCGGGCUUAACCCGGAGCGGCCAAGUGAUACUGUCGUGCUAGAGUGCGGAAGGGGCUACUGGAAUUCUCGGUGUAGCGGUGAAAUGCGUAGAUAUCGAGAGGAACACCUGCGGCGAAGGCGGGUUGCUGGGCUGAUACUGACGCUGAGGCGCGAAAGCCAGGGGAGCGAACGGG
This 253-nucleotide ribosomal RNA is filed under the name uncultured bacterium. RNAcentral's name for it is "partial 16S ribosomal RNA". It matches the Rfam family "Bacterial small subunit ribosomal RNA", at positions 524 to 776 of the family's 1533-position model. The record is from RNAcentral.